Molecule: long non-coding RNA, 308 nt
Filed under: Cricetulus griseus (Chinese hamster)
Lineage: Eukaryota; Metazoa; Chordata; Mammalia; Rodentia; Cricetidae
Description: lncRNA (ENSCGRG00015033341.1)
Source: RNAcentral
GGCCCUGCUAAGGUAUGCCACUAAGUAAACAUGCCAUGUGCAUGUACUUUGCAGAUGUGGACUGGAGUGCUCUGCAGGUGUGGACUGGGGUGCUCUGCAGGUGUGGACUGGGGUGCUCUGCAGGUGUGAACUGUGGUGCUCUGCAGGGGUGAACUGGGGUGCUCUGCAGGGGUGGACUGAAGUGAUUCUGCAGGUGUGGACUGGGUUGCUCUGCAGGUGUGGACUAGGGUGCUCUUCAGGUGUGAACUGGGGUGCUCUGCAGGUGUGGACUGGGGUGCUCUGCAGGUGUGGACUGGGGUGCUUUGCAG